UACGUAGGUGACCAGCGUUGUCCGGAUUUACUGGGCGUAAAGAGCGCGCAGGCGGUCGUUCAAGUCGGGUGUGAAAGCCCCCGGCUCAACUGGGGAGGGGCAUUCGAUACUGAUCGACUUGAAGGCAGGAGAGGGAAGCGGAAUUCCCGGUGUAGUGGUGAAAUGCGUAGAUAUCGGGAGGAACACCAGUGGCGAAGGCGACUUCCUGGCCCGUUCUUGACGCUGAGGCGCGAAAGCUAGGGGAGCAAACGGG
This 253-nucleotide ribosomal RNA is filed under the name uncultured bacterium. RNAcentral describes it as "partial 16S ribosomal RNA". It matches the Rfam family "Bacterial small subunit ribosomal RNA", at positions 524 to 776 of the family's 1533-position model. The record is from RNAcentral.